Molecule: ribosomal RNA, 2916 nt
Filed under: Vibrio parahaemolyticus
Lineage: Bacteria; Pseudomonadati; Pseudomonadota; Gammaproteobacteria; Vibrionales; Vibrionaceae
Description: bacterial LSU rRNA
Rfam family: Bacterial large subunit ribosomal RNA
Source: RNAcentral
GUUGUAUGGUUAAGUGACUAAGCGUACACGGUGGAUGCCUUGGCAGUCAGAGGCGAUGAAAGACGUAGUAACUUGCGAUAAGCCCAGAUUAGGUAGUAACAACCAUUUGAGUCUGGGAUUUCUGAAUGGGGAAACCCACGUGCAUAAGCACGUAUCCUUACCUGAAUACAUAGGGUAAGGAGGCGAACCGGGGGAACUGAAACAUCUAAGUACCCCGAGGAAAAGAAAUCAACCGAGAUUCCGAAAGUAGCGGCGAGCGAAAUUGGACUAGCCCUUAAGCUUUACACGCGUUAGACGAACGGUCUGGAAAGUCCGACGAUACAGGGUGAUAGUCCCGUAGUUGACGACGUGUGUUCAGUGAAAUCGAGUAGGGCGGGACACGUGAUAUCCUGUCUGAAUAUGGGGGGACCAUCCUCCAAGGCUAAAUACUACUGACUGACCGAUAGUGAACCAGUACCGUGAGGGAAAGGCGAAAAGAACCCCUGUGAGGGGAGUGAAAUAGAACCUGAAACCGUGUACGUACAAGCAGUAGGAGCAGGCUUUGUCCUGUGACUGCGUACCUUUUGUAUAAUGGGUCAGCGACUUAUAUUCAGUGGCAAGGUUAACCAUCUAGGGGAGCCGUAGGGAAACCGAGUCUUAACUGGGCGUUCAGUCUCUGGAUAUAGACCCGAAACCAGGUGAUCUAGCCAUGGGCAGGUUGAAGGUUGAGUAACAUCAACUGGAGGACCGAACCGACUAAUGUUGAAAAAUUAGCGGAUGACUUGUGGCUAGGGGUGAAAGGCCAAUCAAACCUGGAGAUAGCUGGUUCUCCCCGAAAGCUAUUUAGGUAGCGCCUCGGACGAAUACUACUGGGGGUAGAGCACUGUUAAGGCUAGGGGGUCAUCCCGACUUACCAACCCUUUGCAAACUCCGAAUACCAGUAAGUACUAUCCGGGAGACACACGGCGGGUGCUAACGUCCGUCGUGGAGAGGGAAACAACCCAGACCGCCAGCUAAGGUCCCAAAUUACUACUAAGUGGGAAACGAUGUGGGAAGGCUCAGACAGCCAGGAUGUUGGCUUAGAAGCAGCCAUCAUUUAAAGAAAGCGUAAUAGCUCACUGGUCGAGUCGGCCUGCGCGGAAGAUGUAACGGGGCUAAGUAGUAAACCGAAGCUGCGGCAAUAUACUUUUGUAUAUUGGGUAGGGGAGCGUUCUGUAAGCCGUUGAAGGUGUGUUGUAAAGCAUGCUGGAGGUAUCAGAAGUGCGAAUGCUGACAUGAGUAACGAUAAAGGGGGUGAAAAACCUCCUCGCCGGAAGACCAAGGGUUCCUGUCCAACGUUAAUCGGGGCAGGGUAAGUCGACCCCUAAGGCGAGGCCGAAAGGCGUAGUCGAUGGGAAACGGGUUAAUAUUCCCGUACUUCUUACAAUUGCGAUGGGGGGACGGAGAAGGCUAGGUGGGCCUGGCGACGGUUGUCCAGGUUCAAGUGCGUAGGCUUAAGAGUUAGGUAAAUCCGGCUCUUUCUAAGGCUGAGACACGACGUCGAGCACCUACGGGUGUGAAGUCAUUGAUGCCAUGCUUCCAGGAAAAGCCUCUAAGCUUCAGAUUGUAAGGAAUCGUACCCCAAACCGACACAGGUGGUCGGGUAGAGAAUACCAAGGCGCUUGAGAGAACUCGGGUGAAGGAACUAGGCAAAAUGGUACCGUAACUUCGGGAGAAGGUACGCUCUUGAUGGUGAAGUCCCUUGCGGAUGGAGCUGACGAGAGUCGCAGAUACCAGGUGGCUGCAACUGUUUAUUAAAAACACAGCACUGUGCAAAAUCGUAAGAUGACGUAUACGGUGUGACGCCUGCCCGGUGCCGGAAGGUUAAUUGAUGGGGUUAGACUUCGGUCGAAGCUCUUGAUCGAAGCCCCGGUAAACGGCGGCCGUAACUAUAACGGUCCUAAGGUAGCGAAAUUCCUUGUCGGGUAAGUUCCGACCUGCACGAAUGGCGUAAUGAUGGCCACGCUGUCUCCACCCGAGACUCAGUGAAAUUGAAAUCGCUGUGAAGAUGCAGUGUACCCGCGGCUAGACGGAAAGACCCCGUGAACCUUUACUACAGCUUGGCACUGAACAUUGACCCUACAUGUGUAGGAUAGGUGGGAGGCUUUGAAGCAUGUACGCCAGUAUGUGUGGAGCCGUCCUUGAAAUACCACCCUUGUAGUGUUGAUGUUCUAACGUCGACCCCUUAUCGGGGUUGCGGACAGUGCCUGGUGGGUAGUUUGACUGGGGCGGUCUCCUCCCAAAGAGUAACGGAGGAGCACGAAGGUGGGCUAAUCACGGUUGGACAUCGUGAGGUUAGUGCAAUGGCAUAAGCCCGCUUGACUGCGAGAAUGACAAUUCGAGCAGGUGCGAAAGCAGGUCAUAGUGAUCCGGUGGUUCUGAAUGGAAGGGCCAUCGCUCAACGGAUAAAAGGUACUCCGGGGAUAACAGGCUGAUACCGCCCAAGAGUUCAUAUCGACGGCGGUGUUUGGCACCUCGAUGUCGGCUCAUCACAUCCUGGGGCUGAAGUCGGUCCCAAGGGUAUGGCUGUUCGCCAUUUAAAGUGGUACGCGAGCUGGGUUUAGAACGUCGUGAGACAGUUCGGUCCCUAUCUGCCGUGGGCGUUGGAAGAUUGAAGGGGGCUGCUCCUAGUACGAGAGGACCGGAGUGGACGAACCUCUGGUGUUCGGGUUGUGUCGCCAGACGCAUUGCCCGGUAGCUAAGUUCGGAAUCGAUAACCGCUGAAAGCAUCUAAGCGGGAAGCGAGCCCUGAGAUGAGUCUUCCCUGAUACUUUAAGUAUCCUAAAGGGUUGUCGGAGACUACGACGUUGAUAGGUCAGGUGUGUAAGUGCUGUGAGGCAUUGAGCUAACUGAUACUAAUUGCCCGUGAGGCUUAACCAUACAACACCCAAGGGGUUU